RNAcentral lists this ribosomal RNA (1741 nucleotides) under Chauliodus sloani (Sloane's viperfish). Its description in RNAcentral is "16S rRNA". It matches the Rfam family "Bacterial large subunit ribosomal RNA". Lineage: Eukaryota; Metazoa; Chordata; Actinopteri; Stomiiformes; Stomiidae. The record is from RNAcentral.
GCUGAAUAGCUAGCCAACUCCCAAAGGCCCCCCUCCCAACAACCUGCCUUUAAAAAUUUAUUUCCAACCCAACAAACCAUUUUUCCUCCCUAGUACGGGCGACAGAAAAGAAGAUAUUGAGCUAUAGUAAAGUACCGCAAGGGAAGGCUGAAAUAGAAGUGAAAUAACUUGUUUAAGCCCGAAAAAACAGAGAUAAAGCCUCGUACCUUUUGCAUCAUGAAUUAGCCAGAAUACUUAAGCAAAGAGAGCUUUAGUUUAAGCCCCCGAAACUAGACGAGCUACUCCGAGACAGCCUUUUAGGGCCAACCCCCCUCUGUUGCAAAAGAGUGGGAUGAUCUCCGAGUAGAGGCAAAAAACCAACCGAGCCUAGUUAUAGCUGGUUGCUUAGGAAAUGAAUAGAAGUUCAGCCUCCCGUAUUCUCCAGCCUCCCCCAUGACCCCACUAACUUCGGCCCCAGAAUACGAGAGAGUUACUCAAGUGAGGAACAGCUCCCUUGACCAAGGACACAACCUUCACAGGAGGUUAAGAAGCACAACAAGAAAGGUCACCUGUUUUAGUGGGCCUAAAAGCAGCCACCUAAAUAGAAAGCGUUAAACCUCAAACAGGCCCUCACCUCUAAUUACGCCCAGUAAUUCUAACCCCUAACCACUACUAAGCCACCCCAUGUUUCCAUGGGGGAGCCCCUGCUAAUAUGAGUAAUAAGGGAGGCUAGCCUUCGCUGCCUCCCUCCCGGCACAAGUGUAAGUCGCACUGGACCCCCCGGCGACAAAUAACGAACUCAAACUCAGAGAGCAGUCUGACCAGGGUUUCACACAAGAAGACCCCAGAUGCUUCAUCGUUAACCCAACACAGGAGUGCCCCGAGGAAAGACUAAAAGGAAAAAAAGGAACUCGGCAAACAUUGGCCUCGCCUGUUUACCAAAAACAUCGCCUCUUGUAACACCCUCAUAAGAGGUCCUGCCUGCCCAGUGACAAUUGUUAAACGGCCGCGGUAUAAUAACCGUGCUAAGGUACCUCAUAAGAGGUCCUGCCUGCCCAGUGACAAUUGUUAAACGGCCGCGGUAUAAUAACCGUGCUAAGGUAGCGCAAUCACUUGUCUCCUAAUUAGAGACCGGUAUGAACGGCAAGACGAGGGUCUAACUGUCUCCUUUCCCCAGUCAAUGAAAUUGAUCUUCCCGUGCAGAAGCGGGAAUACCUAUAUAAGACGAGAAGACCCUGUGAAGCUUUAGACACUAGAAAGCCCCACCAACUACCUAUCUACCAGCGUAAAUCCUAGGGCCCUUAAUCUACUUGUCUUUGGUUGGGGUGACCACGGAGGAAAAAUUAGCCUCCAUGAGGACUAGGGCUUCUACCCCCACAGCCAAGGCCCCCUAACCCAAGCAACAGAAUAUCUGACCAUAAAGAUCCGGCUUAACGCCGAUUAACAAACCAAGUUACUCCAGGGAUAACAGCGCAAUCCCCUCACAGAGCUCCUAUCGACGAGGGGGGUUACGACCUCGAUGUUGGAUCAGGGCAUCCUAAUGGUGCAACCGCUAUUAAGGGUUCGUUUGUUCAACGAUUAAAGCCCUACGUGAUCUGAGUUCAGGCCGGAGUAAUCCAGGCCAGAUUCUAUCUAUACCCCAUCUUUCCCAGUACGAAAGGGCCGGAAAGUAGAGGCCCAUGCCCCCGGUAUGCCUCCUCCCCAUCCAGCUGAAACCAACUUAAACAGAGAGGAGCCCCACGGCUAGUCUAAGAAAAUGACA